RNAcentral lists this ribosomal RNA (433 nucleotides) under uncultured bacterium. RNAcentral describes it as "partial 16S ribosomal RNA". It matches the Rfam family "Bacterial small subunit ribosomal RNA", at positions 29 to 507 of the family's 1533-position model. The record is from RNAcentral.
AACGAACGCUGGCGGCAGGCUUAAUACAUGCAAGUCGAGCGGGCACUUCGGUGUCAUCGGCGCACGGGGGCGUAACGCCGGGUGACAUGCCCUUAAGUACCGAACACCCGACGGAAACUUUGGCUAAUAACACAUAAUAUAUUAGGGUCAAAGAGUUAUGGCUGCAAGGUUGGCCCUUGUUAGAUUCGGUGGUUGGUGGGGUAAUGGCCGGCCAAGCCGACGAUCUAUAGGGGGUGGGGGAGGAUGAUCCCUCACACUGGAACUGAGACACGGUCCAGACUCCUACGGAACGGAGCAGUAGGUAGUAUUGGACGAUGAGCGCAAGCCUGGUCCCGCCAUGCCGCGUGAGUGAUGAAGGCCUUAGGAUUGUGAAGCUCUUUUAGAUGGAGAGAUAAUGACGGUACCGUCAGAAGAAGCCCCGGCUAAAUUCGUG